UGUGUCCUACGGGGGGCAGCAGUGAGGAAUAUUGGUCAAUGGCCGAGAGGCUGAACCAGCCAAGUCGCGUGAGGGAUGACGGCCCUACGGGUUGUAAACCUCUUUUGUCGGGGAGCAAGACCCGCCUCGUGCAGGCGGAGCGAGAGUACCCGAAGAAAAAGCAUCGGCUAACUCCGUGCCAGCAGCCGCGGUAAUACGGAGGAUGCGAGCGUUAUCCGGAUUUAUUGGGUUUAAAGGGUGCGCAGGCGGGGGAUUAAGUCAGCGGUAAAAUGUCGGGGGUCAACCC
Molecule: ribosomal RNA, 286 nt
Filed under: uncultured bacterium
Lineage: Bacteria
Description: partial 16S ribosomal RNA
Rfam family: Bacterial small subunit ribosomal RNA
Source: RNAcentral